UGGCUCAGUGGUAGAGUGCUUGCCUUGCAUGCAUGAAGCCCUGAGUUUGAUUCCUCAG
This 58-nucleotide transfer RNA is filed under the name Dipodomys ordii (Ord's kangaroo rat). It matches the Rfam family "tRNA", at positions 8 to 63 of the family's 71-position model. From Rfam's summary of the family: Transfer RNA (tRNA) molecules are approximately 80 nucleotides in length. Their secondary structure includes four short double-helical elements and three loops (D, anti-codon, and T loops). Further hydrogen bonds mediate the characteristic L-shaped molecular structure. tRNAs have two regions of fundamental functional importance: the anti-codon, which is responsible for specific mRNA codon recognition, and the 3' end, to which the tRNAs corresponding amino acid is attached (by aminoacyl-tRNA synthetases). tRNAs cope with the degeneracy of the genetic code in two manners: having more than one tRNA (with a specific anti-codon) for a particular amino acid; and 'wobble' base-pairing, i.e. permitting non-standard base-pairing at the 3rd anti-codon position. The record is from Rfam by way of RNAcentral. Lineage: Eukaryota; Metazoa; Chordata; Mammalia; Rodentia; Heteromyidae.